Long non-coding RNA from Zingiber officinale, 199 nucleotides. RefSeq lists it as uncharacterized. The transcript is spliced from 2 exons. The record is from RefSeq and is a predicted model, not a curated record. Lineage: Eukaryota; Viridiplantae; Streptophyta; Magnoliopsida; Zingiberales; Zingiberaceae.
GAAGGCUUCGUCUCCGGCGCCGGCCAAGGGGUCUUUCCGCGAGAUCUUCACGGAUCCGAACACCUCUCGUCAAGGAGAACACACGGGCACAGAAGGAGGGCAGAGAUCUUCACUUCUCCGAACCCUAGAAGGCUCUCUUUCGGCUGUAGGACCAAGAAUCCGAGAUACAGGAAAGGAAAAGAUAUAGAAAGGAAGGCGA